This 1033-nucleotide long non-coding RNA is filed under the name Dromaius novaehollandiae (emu). RNAcentral's name for it is "lncRNA (ENSDNVG00000013130.1)". The record is from RNAcentral. Lineage: Eukaryota; Metazoa; Chordata; Aves; Casuariiformes; Dromaiidae.
CAGUAAACAUUUCAUUUAUAUGUUAGAUAGCUACAAUCAGGUAUUGAGGCAUGGGCAGGACUCGUUAAAGAGAAAAGAUGARGAAGAAAAAUGAAAAAAAAGCUAGAAAGGAGAUUUUAGAAAAUACGUAAUAGCUAUGCCGUUACAAUGUUAUUCAUUAAUUAACAUAUGGCAGUUCUUUGACAUGUGAGCAGGAUUGRGGCAUCUUUGUGUUGUGUGCUAUAGAAGCACAAAUAUUCCCAUGAUUUCUGCUUCAAGGAGCUUGGUCACAUUUUCAGUACCAUCUGCACUGGUACUCUGCUUACCAGUAAGUCUUAUUUACUGAAUCUGCAUCUUUACUUUUUCUAGGUUCUAGACAAGACAAUUUUUUAGCCUCUGCUCCUCAAAAACAGGAGGUGGAACCAUAAAUCUCAAAGGACAUGUGGCAAGCAAGAGAGGCACAGCAGAAACAAAUUCCUGUGAGAACAAAUGCAUCAUGCCACUGAAACAGGCUUUCCAGCUGCAUGUUCCCAGCUGUGACCAACUGAAGGGAGAGAAUUACCAAAUAAGAACAGGCUGAACAAGACAAUAAUCUCCUCCAAUCAAAGCCUGCCAGGUAGGAUAAUUCAGAAACAUUGUUUACAUUACCAAUUUACCUGAACAAAAUUGCUACUCUGAACACCUGAAYUGGGACUUAAAAUACAUGUUUUGAUUCUAAUUUGAAUGGCUCGUGAAUUUAACUCCUUCCUUUCAUUCUGUGGCUUGUGUCCAUCUCUGUUCCUGUGAUUUAGACCUAUUUGACUGGAUUGCUUUCUAAAGAGAGUUCUGAUCUAUGUGCUGUUAUUCGUCAGUUAAAAAUGGCUCCAGGACGUGUUUCCUAAAAGCUUUAAGUGUUGGUUUCCACAUGUCUAUAAAUCAUUCUGAGGAUUAGGGUAAACUCAGUGUUGUAUUCAGAAAUCUCUGAUAUCGAUGCASCCGGUAUUUUAAUACCUGAAAGCUGUGGUUUCCCGUCAUGGGAGAAGAAAUGUGAAGUUUGUCCAUUGGAAUCUGUGCA